This 448-nucleotide ribosomal RNA is filed under the name uncultured bacterium. RNAcentral describes it as "partial 16S ribosomal RNA". It matches the Rfam family "Bacterial small subunit ribosomal RNA", at positions 29 to 523 of the family's 1533-position model. The record is from RNAcentral.
AACGAACGCUGGCGGCAGGCCUAACACAUGCAAGUCGAACGCUGUAGCAAUACAGAGUGGCAGACGGGUGAGUAACGCGUGGGAACAUGCCCUUCGGUUCGGAAUAACUCAGGGAAACUUGAGCUAAUACCGGAUACGCCCUUAGGGGGAAAGAUUUAUCGCCGAAGGAUUGGCCCGCGUCCGAUAGCUAGUUGGUGCGGUAAUGGCUCACCAAGGCGACGAUCGGUAGCUGGUCUGAGAGGAUGAUCAGCCACACUGGGACUGAGACACGGCCCAGACUCAUACGGGAGGCAGCAGUGGGGAAUAUUGGACAAUGGGCGCAAGCCUGAUCCAGCCAUGCCGCGUGAGUGAUGAAGGCCCUAGGGUUGUAAAGCUCUUUCGCCAGGGACGAUAAUGACGGUACCUGGAUAAGAAGCCCCGGCUAACUUCGUGCCAGCCGCCGCCGUAA